UGGCAGGAGAGAAAGUUCAAAAAGUCUUUGUUUCAAACAGACAGCCUUCUGUUUCAGGUCAGAAGAGCGAGGAAGAAGCUGCCAUCUUGGAAAUGUACCAUCUUUAUUAUGUAGGGCUUGCAAGAAGAGUGUUGAACUUCUCCGAGUAAAGAAUUGCUAUCAAAAGAACAGGCUAUCACACAGGACUAAAGAUAGAGAAAUAAAGGAUACACUUUGA
Molecule: long non-coding RNA, 217 nt
Organism: Grammomys surdaster
Lineage: Eukaryota; Metazoa; Chordata; Mammalia; Rodentia; Muridae
Exons: 2
Source: RefSeq, a predicted model, not a curated record